AUUUUGAGGAACCAACUCAGACAAACUCUAGCUGUGUCUAACAGUGUUGGGUGCUCUGCCUUUCCCUGAGUGUCGCGGACCACAGAGGAAGCAUUUUACUUCCUGAACCAAAGUACACACCAUGAAGUUUUAGUAGCAGCACAGGGGAUGAGUUAUGUGCUCUAUUUCAUCUUUGCUGUUGUGGUGGCUGUAAUUUUGUGUCAUUGUUUUCAUGGAUUCUUCAAGAGAUACAGGCAGAACUGUAAAUCAGAUGAAAUCACAGUGGAGGCAGGCAAUGUUGUUAGUCUAGACAACGACACAGAAAACAUUAAGGAUGAUCGGCCAACAUCGUCAGUAGUCGUCAUCAAAGAAGACACCAGUUUUAGGAUGAGCUCGAUGUACCAGAGCCUCAUCAGCGAGAGAGAUUCUAUCUAUGAAUGUCUGGAUCGUGCCGAGAUUAACGCCAGUGACGUUUAUGAGAAUUUUUGAGUGAUGGUAAAAUCAUUGUUAUGCACUGACUCAUAUUGCUUUAUAAAAAAAAUGUAUGCAGCAGCAGGACUAUGAUUAAAUAAGUCAUAACUGAAAA
Danio rerio (zebrafish) is the source of this 565-nucleotide non-coding RNA. NCBI's taxonomy places the organism in Eukaryota, Metazoa, Chordata, Actinopteri, Cypriniformes, Danionidae. The record is from Ensembl.